ACUACUACUACUACUACUACUACUAUUGGACCAAAUGUUUUCAAAUAGGUUUCACUAAUGUAUACUAAUUCUUUUAUUACCAGAAUAUCUCAACACAUACUUUUUCAAACAACAUGUCAACAUGGGUAAAAUAUUUAUCAGUAUUAUCAACCUUUAAUACAAAACUACCAUCAAUAACGAAACAGGCAUAAAGAACUAUGCAGUGCCACCAAAGAUAUUAAUCACACGAUGGUACACUUCAGUGUACACUUCUGACAGAACUGGAUCAUUAAACCAUGAAGAAUGAAAUGAGGGCUUCCAAAUACAUUGUUGGCUUUAUCGAUCUCUUUGUUGUAUCUCACAUCAGCGUAGAGAACAUCAAGACAGUUACAGUCCAAUAUAUGUUCUACAGAAUUUUUAGAAAGACGAUGAUUAAAUACCUUUAAUUAAUUCAUGCACCAGGUAUUAUCAAUUAAGGAAUUAUGUGAUUUUAAAAAAUGUUAUUAUUUUUUUAAUCAGAACAAGAGAACAUGCUGUUCAGAUUUGUGAUCAAAGUUAUCAUGUAUUUGUGCAUGGAUAUAAUAAUGACCGGCUGUUAUAUUUUGACCCAGUGAGGCAUCUUGUCAUAUUGGUGGUAGUACACUUUCAUAUUGGAGAUCUCUGAGGGCUUUUUAUCAAUUUUGUAUUAAACCGGUAGAUGUAUAUAUAAAUGAACCAAUGAUCAUUGUACUGCUUUUUUCUUUCAUGUUGAUUCUAGUCUUGUAAGUUUUAGAAGAACUUUGUUAAACAUUAUAAAAUAGUGUAUGAUAUUUUAGAUUUUUUAAAAUACUUUUUCUUCAAUGUGAAGACAGUUGAUAUAUUUAUUUCAUGAACAACUGUGUACUACAUUCAUUACCAAAUUUUCCCAAACAUUUUGUCCUAGAUUUGGGCUUGUUUAUCACAGUGUGCUUGACACUAAAAAAGUAUUCAUUUCCAUCUGUGUUGAGUCCAUUGAAUACAUCUAGAUUAAGCAGUGUCCUACAAACAGAAUCCUUGUUAGUAUGGACCCUGCUAAUCUGAAGAUUUAUGCUGGGGAUGCUUUCAUUAGUACAAUAAGACAUGAAUCUGUACUCGUUAUUUGUUAAACUGGACAGUCACUAAUCCAGACAUGGAAUUCUACAGACUGGUUUUACUUGAUUUCACUGUCUAAUAAAAACAUCUCCAGCUGAACCAAUGUACAUUUGAUUCCUUUACCCACAGGGACGUGGGGUAGCCUUGUUAAAGCGUUUGCUUGUCACGCCGAAGACCCGGGUUUGAUUCCCCACAUGGGUACAAUGUGUGAAGCCCAUUUCUGGUGUUCCCACCGUGAUAUUGCUGGAAUAUUAGCGGCAUAAAACUAAACUCACUCACUCACUCCUUCACCCACAGCUGCAGACACAGAAAUGAUAAUCCUUUCUGAAUUAAAUAAAUAACAAGUUGGACUUGUUCCAGUAGUUUCAGAUGUUUUCAGGCAUGCACUUGUUUUCACUUAUAUUACAUACAUCACUUUGUAUACUUGUGGUAAAUAUUGUUUUCUUGACAAAGUUGAAUACAUGCUUAGCUAUGAGUUACUUUCUCUUAGUCUUCCCUGUGGAUUCAAGAGAGUAUGGACAUCUUUGUUGUCAUUAUUUAUCUGGGUUUUGUUUCACAAAGUGAACUUUGCACCAUGGCUUUUGUCUCUGUGCUAAGAUCGCCUUUGAACUUUGCUCAGGUGUAAAUGUGACAUUUGAUAUUUAUCAAGAAAAUAUUCUUAAAUAAUUUAUUUAUUUGAAUUGCAUGAAUUUGUGUUCUCUUGUUUAUGGCUGUAAAUAGUUCUCUUGUUCAUGGGAAUAUGAGAAUCUCAUGUCUUUGCAAGCUUAUUGUUCAGAAAUAUGAGUUAUCAGUUUUCUUGCCAUUUCCUUUUGAAAGAAUGCUGUGAUUCAGAUGGAACUUCCAAGGAUUGGCAGAUUUAGAAAGUUGUUGUGUUCCUUCUACCAAACAAUCUUGGCUUUGCAACUGUCGUCAACCUAUGUGAAAGUAAGAGGUUGCGACAGUUUCUCAGCUCUGAUCACUUUAUUUGGGAUGGCAACUCUGGAAUUCUGCAAUGAUUCAUCUCUGAUACAUACAGAUCCAUCUCUGUUUGCCAUUGCAACUCUACGUCCGCAUGUUCUAGUCACAAUGCUUUAGCAGGUUUUCACUCAGUGUUAUUUAUUCACGAUCUAAUUUUGAUACUUUUGUAUGCAUAAUCAGCACUCUUUGACUUUUCAGCCAUAUCAUGAACAAAGUUUUAAGCCUUAAUGAAUCGGGGCCAUAUUGUACAUAUUUUUAUCAUGUUGUUUUUCAUCGGUAAAUCACAAGAAAUGCUUAUCAUCAUAUAUUCACAAGUGACGUGACAUACAACUUGACCAUUUAUUUAAUAUCUACGCAGCCGAACAGUAUUAAUUGCUGAUAUUUAACAUUUCAAAUUAUUAAAUUAUUUAUUCAACAUCAAACAUUUUGAUUCUGUUAUACAGUGUGAUUGGUCGAGCCCAUUCCUUCAAACAAACAUUGGUCGCUAGUUUGUUUGUAAUGGUAAUAUGAUGGUAAGAAUUAAUUGUGACUUAUAGAUGACAUAUGUUAGCUCCUUGCGUAGCUUAUGGCUUGUGUGCAAUGUGAGUACUGUGUUAUUUUCUCAUUUACACUUUGUUACCAUUUUAUGUACAAUAACAAAGUAAAAGUCCCAUAAUGAAAACAGGAGAAUUUUGUGGAUUUUGACAACUGAAACAACUAGUUAUUUUAAGUAUUCACUGUAAAUUAUUUUUAAUGUCAGUAAAAUCUCUCAAGUUGCGUUUGAAAUGCAAAGUACAGCAAACAGUAUAAACAGCUUUGUAUCCACCAUUCUCGGAACAAUAUCUCUUGUUUUCCAUGUACAUUUACAUUAGGAUUCAAAGGGUUAUGACAAAUGUUGGAUGUGUAAUAUGAACAAAAUAUCCGUAGACUCCUGUACAUUUGGGAUAUUGAUCUGUUACGCUGUGCUUUGGAUUUGUUAAUUCUUGUUUAACCAAAAACUCAUGACAGAACUUGUGAUUUGACAUGUUCGAUCUCAGUUUCUCCUCACGAAACAAGGAGUGUAUAUACCAGUUACUGUCAUAGUACUGGAGGUGUACAUUACUGCCACAGUACUGAUGCUGAACUGGUUACUGUCAUAGUACUGGAGGUGUACCAGUUACUGUCAUAGUACUCGAGGUGUACCAGUUACUGUCAUAGUACUGGAGGUGUACAGGAUACUGAUACACUACUGAUGCUGAACUGGUUACUGUCAUAGUACUGGAGGUGUACCAGUUACUGUCAUAGUACUGGAGGUGUACAGGAUACUGAUACACUACUGAUGCUGAACUGGUUACUGUCAUAGUACUGGAGGUGUACAGGAUACUGAUACACUACUGAUGCUGAACUGGUUACUGUCAUAGUACUGGAGGUGUACCAGUUACUGUCAUAGUACUGGAGGUGUACAGGAUACUGAUACACUACUGAUGCUGAACUGGUUACUGUCAUAGUACUGGAGGUGUACCAGUUACUGUCAUAGUACUGGAGGUGUACCAGUUACUGUCAUAGUACUGGAGGUGUACCAGUUACUGUCAUAGUACUGGAGGUGUACCAGUUACUGUCAUAGUACUGGAGGUGUACAGGAUACUGAUACACUACUGAUGCUGAACUGGUUACUGUCAUAGUACUGGAGGUGUACCAGUUACUGUCAUAGUACUGGAGGUGUACAGGAUACUGAUACACUACUGAUGCUGAACUGGUUACUGUCAUAGUACUGGAGGUGUACCAGUUACUGUCAUAGUACUGGAGGUGUACCAGUUACUGUCAUAGUACUGGAGGUGUACAGGAUACUGAUACACUACUGAUGCUGAACUGGUUACUGUCAUAGUACUGGAGGUGUACCAGUUACUGUCAUAGUACUGGAGGUGUACCAGUUACUGUCAUAGUACUGGAGGUGUACAGGAUACUGAUACACUACUGAUGCUGAACUGGUUACUGUCAUAGUACUGGAGGUGUACCAGUUACUGUCAUAGUACUGGAGGUGUACCAGUUACUGUCAUAGUACUGGAGGUGUACAGGAUACUGAUACACUACUGAUGCUGAACUGGUUACUGUCAUAGUACUGGAGGUGUACCAGUUACUGUCAUAGUACUCGAGGUGUACAGGAUACUGAUACACUACUGAUGCUGAACUGGUUACUGUCAUAGUACUGGAGGUUACUGUCAUAGUACUGGUAGUGUACUGAUUGUUGUGACAGAACUGGUGGUGUACCGGUUACUGAUACUGUACUGUCCACGGUCAUAGUACUGAUAUUCUACUGGUUAUUGUGACAGUACUGGUUGUGUACGUGACCUUCCCCAGAACAGGUGUGGUAACCUUUGUCUGAUUAUUCCAAUGGACCUUACAACUCAUGUAAUCUUUGAAUGCAGGACAAUGUUUGCUCAAUUGUCAUCAUGGUUUCUGGCUGAUAAUUCUGGUAUUAUCUCG
Molecule: long non-coding RNA, 4488 nt
Organism: Haliotis rubra (blacklip abalone)
Lineage: Eukaryota; Metazoa; Mollusca; Gastropoda; Lepetellida; Haliotidae
Exons: 10
Source: RefSeq, a predicted model, not a curated record